Molecule: ribosomal RNA, 253 nt
Filed under: uncultured bacterium
Lineage: Bacteria
Description: partial 16S ribosomal RNA
Rfam family: Bacterial small subunit ribosomal RNA
Source: RNAcentral
UACGGAGGAUGCAAGCGUUAUCCGGAAUCAUUGGGCGUAAAGCGUCCGCAGGUGGCAUUACAAGUCUGUCGUCAAAGAAUGGAGCUUAACUCCAUCAAGGCGGUGGAAACUGUAGAGCUAGAGUACGGUAGGGGUAGAGGGAAUUUCCAGUGUAGCGGUGAAAUGCGUAGAGAUUGGAAAGAACACCAGUGGCGAAAGCGCUCUACUGGGCCUGUACUGACACUGAGGGACGAAAGCUAGGGGAGCGAAAGGG